RNAcentral lists this ribosomal RNA (497 nucleotides) under uncultured bacterium. RNAcentral's name for it is "partial 16S ribosomal RNA". It matches the Rfam family "Bacterial small subunit ribosomal RNA", at positions 28 to 507 of the family's 1533-position model. The record is from RNAcentral.
GAUGAACGCUGGCGGCGUGCCUAAUACAUGCAAGUCGAGCGAACAGACGAGGAGCUUGCUCCUCUGACGUUAGCGGCGGACGGGUGAGUAACACGUGGAUAACCUACCUAUAAGACUGGGAUAACUUCGGGAAACCGGAGCUAAUACCGGAUAAUAUAUUGAACCGCAUGGUUCAAUAGUGAAAGACGGUUUUGCUGUCACUUAUAGAUGUAUCCGCGCCGCAGUAGCUAGUUGGUAAGGUAACGGCUUACCAAGGCGACGAUGCGUAGCCGACCUGAGAGGAGGAUGCGUCACCCUUGAAAGGGGAAAAGGUCCCAAACCCCAAGGGAGGCCAGAGGGGGGAAAUUUUGCGAAAGGGGGGAAGGCUGUACGGGCCAACGCGGGGGGGUGAAUAAGGGCUUCGGAUUGUAAAACACUUUAUUUUGGGGAGAAAAAAAGUAAGUUAAUACCAUGCAGUUUUGACGUUACCAAAAGAAGAAGCACCGGCUAACUUCGUG